RNAcentral lists this ribosomal RNA (523 nucleotides) under uncultured bacterium. Its description in RNAcentral is "partial 16S ribosomal RNA". It matches the Rfam family "Bacterial small subunit ribosomal RNA", at positions 355 to 868 of the family's 1533-position model. The record is from RNAcentral.
UGGGGAAUAUUGCACAAUGGGCGCAAGCCUGAUGCAGCCAUGCCGCGUGUGUGAAGAAGGCCUUCGGGUUGUAAGCACUUUCAGCGAGGAGGAAGGUGGUGAGCUUAAUACGCUCAUCAAUUGACGUUACUCGCAGAAGAAGCACCGGCUAACUCCGUGCCAGCAGCCGCGGUAAUACGGAGGGUGCAAGCGUUAAUCGGAAUUACUGGGCGUAAAGCGCACGCAGGCGGUUUGUUAAGUCAGAUGUGAAAUCCCCGGGCUCAACCUGGGAACUGCAUUUGAAACUGGCAAGCUAGAGUCUCGUAGAGGGGGGUAGAAUUCCAGGUGUAGCGGUGAAAUGCGUAGAGAUCUGGAGGAAUACCGGUGGCGAAGGCGGCCCCCUGGACGAAGACUGACGCUCAGGUGCGAAAGCGUGGGGCAGCAAACAGGAUUAGAUACCCUGGUAGUCCAGCGCUGUAAAACGAUGUCGAUUUGGAGGUUGUGCCCUUGAGGCGUGGCUUCCGGAGCUAACGNNUUAAAUCGA